RNAcentral lists this ribosomal RNA (430 nucleotides) under uncultured Lachnospiraceae bacterium. Its description in RNAcentral is "bacterial SSU rRNA". It matches the Rfam family "Bacterial small subunit ribosomal RNA", at positions 952 to 1382 of the family's 1533-position model. The record is from RNAcentral. Lineage: Bacteria; Bacillati; Bacillota; Clostridia; Lachnospirales; Lachnospiraceae.
CGAAGCAACGACGAAGAACCUUACCAAGACUUGACAUCCCCUGACAGCUGUUGAAAGGCAGUGUCUCUCCGGAGCAGGGAGACAGGUGGUGCAUGGUUGUCGUCAGCUCGUGUCGUGAGAUGUUGGGUUAAGUCCCGCAACGAGCGCAACCCUUAUCCUUAGUUACCAGCACGUAAAGGUGGGGACUCUAGGGAGACCGCCGGGGACGACUCGGAGGAAGGUGGGGACGACGUCAAAUCAUCAUGCCCCUUAUGUCUUGGGCUACACACGUGCUACAAUGGCCGCAACAGAGGGAAGCGAGAGCGCAAGCUGGAGCAAAACCCUAAAAAGCGGUCCCAGUUCGGAUUGUGGGCUGCAACCCGCCCACAUGAAGUCGGAGUUGCUAGUAAUCGCGAAUCAGCAUGUCGCGGUGAAUGCGUUCCCGGGCCUU